UUCAUUGACCUCUGACCUCAAAUCAGGUAGGACUACCCGCUGAACUUAAGCAUAUCAAUAAGCGGAGGAAAAGAAACUAACAAGGAUUCCCCUAGUAACUGCGAGUGAAGCGGGAAAAGCUCAAAUUUAAAAUCUGGCGGUCUUUGGCCGUCCGAGUGUAGU
RNAcentral lists this ribosomal RNA (162 nucleotides) under Hexagonia apiaria. RNAcentral's name for it is "partial 28S ribosomal RNA". It matches the Rfam family "Eukaryotic large subunit ribosomal RNA", at positions 1 to 149 of the family's 3401-position model. The record is from RNAcentral. Lineage: Eukaryota; Fungi; Basidiomycota; Agaricomycetes; Polyporales; Polyporaceae.